This 497-nucleotide ribosomal RNA is filed under the name uncultured bacterium. RNAcentral's name for it is "partial 16S ribosomal RNA". It matches the Rfam family "Bacterial small subunit ribosomal RNA", at positions 28 to 507 of the family's 1533-position model. The record is from RNAcentral.
GAUGAACGCUGGCGGCGUGCCUAAUACAUGCGAGUCGAGCGAACAGAUGAGGAGCUUGCUCCUCUGACGUUAGCGGCGGACGGGUGAGUAACACGUGGAUAACCUACCUAUAAGACUGGGAUAACUACGGGAAACCGGAGCUAAUACCGGAUAAUAUAUUGAACCGCAUGGUUCAAUAGUGAAAGACGGUUUUGCUGUCACUUAUAGAUGGAUCCGCGCCGCAUUAGCUAGUUGGUAAGGUAACGGCUUACCAAGGCAACGAUGCGUAGCCGACCUGAGAGGGUGAUCGGCCACACUGGAACUGAGACACGGUCCAGACUCCUACGGGAGGCAGCAGUAGGGAAUCUUCCGCAAUGGGCGAAAGCCUGACGGAGCAACGCCGCGUGAGUGAUGAAGGUCUUCGGAUCGUAAAACUCUGUUAUUAGGGAAGAACAAAUGUGUAAGUAACUAUGCACGUCUUGACGGUACCUAAUCAGAAAGCCACGGCUAACUACGUG